GUGUUUGCCCUACUCUUCCUCCUCACAGUACGGCUGGGCAUUCUCGACAACGCACAGCCUCGCGCACAAACACGCACGCACAGAGAAGUGCCCUCCCUCCCCAGAGCGCUUGACGCGAAUCAUCGUGUACGUUUCUCCGCUUCUCCUUUACGCACAACCCCAGCGCGUAUAUCCUUUUGCACGCUCCGCCAUGCCGCACCGCUCUCUCGUCUGCUUUGCUGCGCCAGCGGACAAGAAGGCGUUCAUGGAACUCGUCAAGACCCUUCGGUACCGCACCGAGGCCCCCAUAUCGGACUGCAGCGCAGCUCUCAAGGAAACCGACGGGGACAUGGACGCGGCUAUGCAAGUGCUGCGCAAGCGCGGCGCCGCCCGGGCGAUGAAGAAGGGCGAUCGCGUGACGGAGCACGGCUUUGUUGUGAGCUGUGUGGGAUCGACCCCAGCAAGCGGAGCGGCCAUCGUAACAAUAUGUAGCGAGACGGACUUUGCGGCCCGCAAUGAGCACUUCCAGAAGGUAUGCGUGCAGGCACGUGACCAGCUGUGCAAACUCAUGGACGCCACGAACGGCGCUGUUCUCGCAAACCCGGAGGAGGCUGUCAAGCAUCUGAGCGACGUCAUGGCAGAGGAGCUGCGCGUGGCCAUCGCAGUGCUCGGUGAAAACAUGCGAGUGCGCAGCAUCGCCCCACUCGUACCUGCACCGCAUAUGUCCGAGCGUCUUCUCAUUGGGAGCUACACGCAUGGUUCCUUGAAUGUCGACAACGUCGGCCGCAUUGUGGGGCUCGUGGCGUUGAGUCAAGUGCGGGAGAACGAGGUGGUUCCGAAGGAUGUGCUGACCUCUGUCGGCCGCCAUUUCGUGGCCACCUCCGGUGCCGAGGGCAACUACGCUCACCAGAACUUCUUUGGUAGUGAGACGGAGACGGUGGGCAAGUGGCUGAAGCAGCGCGGCCUCAAGUUCAGCAGCAGCCUCGUGCAGGAGUUUGGGAAGGAGCCGGUCGUGCACACGGCACCUGAGCCGCACAGGUAGGGUUAGGGGGAGGGGGGGGUGAUGAUGCGCACUCGGCCGCCCCCACAGGUGCGCUCUUUUUCAAUGAGAGAGGAAGAGCGAGAUAGAGGGGGUAGGCGGGGGGGGAGGCAGAGGUCAAGAGGAAUGCAACACUCUGGCAGUGGUGCUGUACGCGCGUGUGCUCUCCUUGAUGGUUCAUCUCGUUGGUCGGUCACCACGGCCGCCAUCUCUUCGCUCCGCCCUCUCCCGUCCCUCGGAGGCUGUUUCGCACUCCUCCGUUCCUCACGCGCUCGCACCUGCGUGCCGCCACUAUCGUUCUCCUCCAGGUGAUUUGUCGCACCCAUCACAGAUUGUCUUUGCUUGUUGUCGCGUUUUACUCGAUCUUCGCGUCGUUCUUGUUGUCGAUGUGGCGCCGCGCCGUAGAGCACAUCGAGCGGACGGGCUGGAGGGAGGGAGGGCGGGGCUUGACACCACUCCCACCUCGGUUUUUGUCUGGCCGGUGAGUGGAUGGAAACGAGAAAACGAAAAAGCGCGCGAAAGGCAGGCAGACCGGACCGCGUAGGAAUCGAGUCGACUUGUGCUUUCUUUUCUUGUGGCCUCCGCCUUCUGCCGCAGUGGUGGCGGCCAUGCCACCCGCAGCGGCUCCUCUCCCCGUGAGUGCUGCAAAAAGGGUGGGGAAUAGGCCGCUUUCGAAUUGUGUGAU
Molecule: unclassified non-coding RNA, 1703 nt
Filed under: Leishmania donovani
Lineage: Eukaryota; Euglenozoa; Kinetoplastea; Trypanosomatida; Trypanosomatidae
Description: gene:LdHU3.29.1020(CDS-product:Elongation_factor_ Ts_mitochondrial_putative)
Source: RNAcentral